This is a long non-coding RNA of Bos taurus (domestic cattle), 848 nucleotides long. The record is from Ensembl. Lineage: Eukaryota; Metazoa; Chordata; Mammalia; Artiodactyla; Bovidae.
GAGAAACUAAGCAAGUGAUUCCAUUCAAAUAAAUUAAAUGCAAAGUCACUACAAUUGGGAGGUUUAGAUUAAAGAAGGCCUUUUCAGGUGUGGUUAACCACAGAGUGAGGACGCGAGCUCUAAGCUGGACUUGGCAGCAGAAGAGAGAAGAUCCAGUCAUUGUCCAUACAACUUGAUUUUGAAUACUGGUAAAAUCAGAGUUGGGCUUCCCUGGUCGCUCAGUGGGAAAGAAUCUGCCUGCCAAUGUAGCAGAGCCCAGUGGAAAAGAAUCCAUCUGCCAAUGCAGGGGACAUGGGUUCGAUCCCUGGUCCAGGAAUAUUCCACAUGCUGAGGGGCAAUUAAGCCCAUGGACCAUAACUACUGAGCCGUACUCUGGAGGCCUCGAGCCACAACCACUGAGCCCAGGUACUGCAGCUACUGAAGCCAGCACCCCAGAGCCCAUUUUCUGUAACAAGAGAAGCCACUGCAAUGGAAAGCCUGCACACUGCGAUGAAGAGUAGCCCAGCUCACCGCAACUAGAGGAAGCCUGCAUGCACCAAUGAAGACCCAGUGCGACCAAAAAUAAAAUUUAAAUUAAAUUCUCUGUGCUUCAGUUUUCAUAACCAUGAAAAGGGGACCAUCAUACCUAUUAUGUAGGGUUGUUAUGAGGCUGAAAUGAGAUAAUGUUGCAAAGUACUUCGUAUAUAGUAGGUACGCGUAAAUGAUGCUUAGUCUUACCUAACAACUCUCUUUCCUUUGGAGAUAAGAACUAACUUGUUUUGUGCAGUACUGUGCUGUGUGCUGCUUCCUGGCUACAGACUGUCUACAUGUCAUAACAGCUACUGUUGACUAAAUACAUAAAAUGUGAC